GAUGAACGCUGGCGGCGUGCCUAAUACAUGCAAGUCGAGCGAACAGACGAGGAGCUUACUCCUCUGACGUUAGCGGCGGACGGGUGAGUAACACGUGGAUAACCUACCUAUAAGACUGGGAUAACUUCGGGAAACCGGAGCUAAUACCGGAUAACAUGUUGAACCGCAUGGUUCAACAGUGAAAGACGGUCUUGCUGCCACUUAUAGAUGGAUCCGCGUCGCAUUAGCUAGUUGGUAAGGUAACGGCUUACCAAGGCAACGAUGCGUAGCCGACCUGAGAGGGUGAUCGGCCACACUGGAACUGAGACACGGUCCAGACUCCUACGGGAGGCAGCAGUAGGGAAUCUUCCGCAAUGGGCGAAAGCCUGACGGAGCAACGCCGCGUGAGUGAAGAAGGUCUUCGGAUCGUAAAACUCUGUUAUUAGGGAAGAACAAAUGUGUAAGUAACUAUGCACGUCUUGACGGUACCUAAUCAGAAAGCCACGGCUAACUACGUG
RNAcentral lists this ribosomal RNA (497 nucleotides) under uncultured bacterium. RNAcentral describes it as "partial 16S ribosomal RNA". It matches the Rfam family "Bacterial small subunit ribosomal RNA", at positions 28 to 507 of the family's 1533-position model. The record is from RNAcentral.